Molecule: ribosomal RNA, 468 nt
Filed under: uncultured bacterium
Lineage: Bacteria
Description: partial 16S ribosomal RNA
Rfam family: Bacterial small subunit ribosomal RNA
Source: RNAcentral
GACGAACGCUGGCGGCGUGCUUAACACAUGCAAGUCGAACGGAAAGGCCCUGCUUUUGUGGGGUGCUCGAGUGGCGAACGGGUGAGUAACACGUGAGUAACCUGCCCUUGACUUUGGGAUAACUUCAGGAAACUGGGGCUAAUACCGGAUAGGAGCUCCUGCUGCAUGGUGGGGGUUGGAAAGUUUCGGCGGUUGGGGAUGGACUCGCGGCUUAUCAGCUUGUUGGUGGGGUAGUGGCUUACCAAGGCUUUGACGGGUAGCCGGCCUGAGAGGGUGACCGGCCACAUUGGGACUGAGAUACGGACCAGACUCCUACGGGAGGCAGCAGUCGGGAAUAUUGCACAAUGGGCGGAAGCCUGAUGCAGCAACGCCGCGUGCGGGAUGCCGGCCUUCGGGUUGUAAACCGCUUUCGCAUGUGACGAAGCGUGAGUGACGGUAAUGGGUAAAGAAGCACCGGCUAACUACGUG